Rhinolophus ferrumequinum (greater horseshoe bat) is the source of this 2610-nucleotide long non-coding RNA. RefSeq lists it as uncharacterized. NCBI's taxonomy places the organism in Eukaryota, Metazoa, Chordata, Mammalia, Chiroptera, Rhinolophidae. The transcript has 3 exons. The record is from RefSeq and is a predicted model, not a curated record.
ACGCUGGGAGCCCCGCCUGCUCGCCCUACCCCACCGGGUCCGGUCCCAAGGGGUCUCGCGGACCGCGCUGUGUCCCUGCCUCCUGCCCUCAGGCUAGGGUGCCGCUGGCCGAGGUGCGCCCCGACGCCCUGCCAUCCCACCGCCCUCCAAGCCGGGAGCUAGCUGAGAAACUGCAGGAAUUGGUUUUUUAAAAAAUCUGAUUCGGGUUGCUGAAGACUGGAGGAGUCUAAUCAGAGAGGAUGACGCAGCCCGAACCCGACAGACGGCGAGUACGGCGAGGAGGGCUGGUAACCCGAGCUGGACUCGAAUGAUGAGGGGUGCGCCCCGGGAUUCUCGGCUCCGGGCCGGCGCGGGUCCAGAACUCGUGCUCAGAGCGUGGGCAACCGAGCAGAGACGCAAGCGUGCGCGGCCGACACGUGGAGGAAGUCUGCUGUAGACACAGAAAUGGAGGCAGAUGCAUUGGGCUGGACUUGGACCAGGAGAGCCGUGCUAGAGACGAAGGUCCCACUGUGUGCUGCAUGGCGUGGGGGCAGGAGUCCCAGGUUGCUUCUGGAGGGUUGCAUGCUCCCACUGGUUAAAUUAGCAUAGAGUACCCUAGGAACUGAAUCAUCAGUUCCUAGGGUUCUGGAAUUCCAGACCAUCGAACAGACCAGACCUCCCAGGAGCUCACAUUCUCUUUGAGACAAGAGGACGACGAAUGCUGGGUUUUGCUCCAACUUCCAUUUUAGAGAAACCAAUGCUGGCCUGAAAACUCCCCUUCCAGUAAAGACUGGGUGGGGUGGGGUGGUCUGAGAUCACACAGUCAGCAGGCUGAGUGAAGCCAUCCCGACAACAUUCCUCAUUCUGUCUUACCGAUCAGCAGAACCUCCAUGGUAUGUGCAUGGAAACCCCAUAGGGAGGACCAGAGGAAGGGGUGAGCCAGAGCUGGAUAGCUGGGAUCCCCCCUCCCCAUCCCAGGGUGCUGAGAAUCUGCCUUCACUUUGGAUCUUCCCUGGGCUGCGGGCCUUGCGCUUCCUCCCCCCUCCGUUUUGGAGUUGGGAGGUUGCCCCCCAGGUCCCACUUCAUCGGGUCCCCUUCACAAACCCAAGCUUCAGCCUUAUGCUACCUGCCCGCUGAUGGGGUCUCUUUGAAGAAUUGAUUUCCACAAAGUCCCUAAAGUGUUUCCUCAGCAGUAAAUCUCCUGCCGCCCAGGCUCUCUGCCCCAUAAAUGAUUUAGCACCUCGGUGGGGUUGGAACAGUCUUCCUGUGCCCUUGGAGGCCGGCAGCUGUGACAUCACCAUCCCGGCUGGUGAUGGAUGGUAUCUUCUGCCCUAAUGGGAGAAGAGUGCACAGUGCCGUCUGGGAGGGGGUCGGGCCAUGGUAGUAAGUACCCAUCUGGCUCUACAGACUUCUGGUUUGGGGGUCUUCCUGAUGGACCAGCCAGCUAAUUGCCCUCCAAGGUACCGAGAGAAAGGGCCUGAGUCUAUCUCUCUGUCCCCUGCCCAGAGGGACCCAGGCUCAUUUCAGAGUGGGGUUUGUCUUUCCAGUUUUUAAAGUGCUCCAGAGAGAGGAAUUAUAUAUACCAAAUGCCCUCUUAUCCUGCUUUACCACAUUCUCACAUGCACAGAUGCACCCUCAUGGGUAUGCACACUCCUGGCUGCUUUCUCAAGAGCCUUCCCAGGAAGUUCAUCAUUGUGUCCCACCUAAAUCUUUCCUGCUACCAAUGAAGGCCAUUUUUCUCUGAAUCCAUAUGGAACCGACAGAGAACAGGUGGUUAUUAUCGGCCAUAUGCUAAGCCUGCAAGCAUACACGGUGAAGGAUGACAGGGUUUUGGUCCCUCCCUCCCAUCGUCUUUCUUGUAAACUUCGAUGACCCCAUCCUCUCAGGUCCACCAGCCUUUGGAGGAAAAGACACAAUUUUUGUCCGUCCGCAUCUGUAGGUUCCGGCAGAGGACAGAAACUGGAGAGGAUGGCACUUGGAUGAGAGAGUAGCCUCUGCCCAGAUUUGCCGUCCCUGACUCCAGCAGGCCUUGCCCUACCUUGGAGGAGGUGUAACUCAGGGUACAUUUCCUGCUUCAAAAUCACUUGCCCAUGGGCCUAUCCUAUACAGAGUGAUAGGCUGAGGAAUUUUCUCUAAGAUUGGUACGGGGGCAAGCACCCUGUGAUUCCACCAGGAUCACACAUGCAGAGGGUGCCAAGAAAAUGGACACACGUUUUAUGAAAGGAAAAAAAACUGUAUUAAAAUCGUAAUACUCAACAUAUACCGAUACCAAAAGAUGAAUAUGAGUCAUGUGUAUACAUUUUUUUGGCACCUCCGGUAUGGUAGCGGAGAGAAGGACCUGAAAGAGUGGGACGUAGAAUGGUAAGUUUUUGGUUUUGUUUUGUUUGGACAAUUUGUUGAGAUAAAUUUACACACACAAAAAUUAAUCCACUUAAAGAGUACAGUUAAAUGGGCUUUGAUAAAUAGAUACGCCCAUGUGACCACCACCACAAUGAAGAUAUUAAAUAUGUCCAUCACCCCUAAAAUUGCCCUCAUGCUCCUUCCAGGUCAAUCUCCUUUUCCCACCACCCCACUCCUCACCCUGUCUCCAGGUCUCCUAUCCCUGACAACUACUAAUCAGCUUUCGAUUAC